CCUACGGGUGGCAGCAGUGAGGAAUAUUGGUCAAUGGACGAGAGUCUGAACCAGCCAAGUAGCGUGAAGGAUGACUGCCCUAUGGGUUGUAAACUUCUUUUAUAAAGGAAUAAAACGAGGCACGUGUGCCUUUUUGCAUGUACUUUAUGAAUAAGGAUCGGCUAACUCCGUGCCAGAAGCCGCGGUAAUACGGAGGAUCCGAGCGUUAUCCGGAUUUAUUGGGUUUAAAGGGAGCGUAGAUUGGUUGUUAAGUCAGUUGUGAAAGUUUGCGGCUCAACAGUAAAAUUGCAAUUGAUACUGGCAGUCGUGAGUACAGUUGAGGUAGGCGGAAUUCGUGGUGUAGCGGUGAAAUGCUUAGAGAUCACGAAGAACCCCGAUUGCGAAGGCAGCUUACUAAACUGUGACUGACAUUGAUGCUCGAAAGUGUGGGUAUCAAACAGGAUUAGAUACCCCUGUAGUC
This 460-nucleotide ribosomal RNA is filed under the name uncultured bacterium. RNAcentral's name for it is "partial 16S ribosomal RNA". It matches the Rfam family "Bacterial small subunit ribosomal RNA", at positions 338 to 795 of the family's 1533-position model. The record is from RNAcentral.